RNAcentral lists this non-coding RNA (45 nucleotides) under Schistosoma haematobium. Lineage: Eukaryota; Metazoa; Platyhelminthes; Trematoda; Strigeidida; Schistosomatidae. The record is from RNAcentral.
AUCCAACUGACGAGUCCCAAAUAGAACGACACGCGUGUCGUGGAU